This is a long non-coding RNA of Drosophila pseudoobscura, 1722 nucleotides long. RefSeq lists it as uncharacterized. The transcript is spliced from 3 exons. The record is from RefSeq and is a predicted model, not a curated record. NCBI's taxonomy places the organism in Eukaryota, Metazoa, Arthropoda, Insecta, Diptera, Drosophilidae.
CCUUCCUCAAGCUUUGCCUGUGAUUGCUCCUCCUCCUCCUUCGUCACCAUCCUCGCCAGAAACUGACAGGCUGGUGCGAAUGGAUUGGCUUGUAUCUGAUUUGGAAUGAAUGUGCAGGUAAUUUGAAGUCUUGUUUGCGGUUCGCUAAUUUCGGUUUUCAGUGUGCUGCAGAGUCGAUUGCAACGAUUGUUGUGUAUCGAUAGCCGAAGUGAAAGUCUCUUUCUGCUUAUUUAUGAUCAUACUCUGCCUGAAAAAGUAUUACAAACGGUAUAAGCAGCUUGCUGUGCAAGGAAAUAGUUACUUAUUAUAUUUAUCGGAUCUCGAUCGAUGCUUUUUUGUGGUGAAAAAGAGUAUUGGUCGCCACCAAUUCCAGUGCAACUUUUUUUGUAUUCUGCGUGCAAUGGCUUCAGGAAUUGUGUUGGUUGCUUUCAAUAGGAGGAAUAACUUAUUUCUGACGCUGUCAGUCGGAUGAUGGGGAUGAAGAAUAGCAUCAGCAGGCCGCUGGAGGCCCCAACGAGACUGAAAGUUGAAUGGAUGUUGAAAGCGAAGCCCCGCUGCCACACAGAGACCGACAUUCAAUUUGUGGAAGCGUCGUGUCCGACUUGACUGUGCUUUCCGCUGACAUUUCUACAUUCAAAGUACUCUUUGUACGAGAGUUGUAGGCGCACACAAACGAAAGGAUAUUGGAAAAUGUCACCCCCAAUGGUCCUCCAGGUUUGUAUGGAAAUUCGAGGCGGGUUUGCCUAUAACACAGAUAUGAAUCUUUCACCCUUUUUCUCAAAGUCUCGAGCGACGCUGGAGCUGAGGGGAUAUUUACGGUCACAUUUCUGUCUUAUUAAUUGGCCGCAUGCACGAACCUGAAUCCUGCCAAGGAGUCUCCUGCAUUCCGUUCUCCCCCUCCACCCAGGUCGGAACCGGGGCCGGGUCAGUGCAGGUGUGAAUAGUUGCCGUUCACCUGCCGCCAGGACAGGAUCGCAGGGAGAGAGAGAGAGAAGGAUUUCUGUGAGCAGCAGCUGUUCAGCUGCCAGCGACAUGUUUAGCGACAAUUUGCCAGGAUGCCAUGCAAUUUGCUUGGCCAGGAGCCCGCUGCUGCUCCCUUUUGGCUGGCAGCUUUUGAUUGAUGACGACCGGGUUCUGCUUGCUGCAAUUGAAAGUGCAUCUCAAUUAGGAGGCCGCCCUGGUGGACCUUCGACUGCCUCAACCCCAACCCCUCACUGCAGUGCACGCGUCUCCUUCUGUGAGCGGUUCAGUGGAGGAGCGAGCGCGAGUGUGUGGGGCAGUAAAAGUAACUCCAUUUGUAUGGCAAUCCAUGUACACGUCGAUAUCGCCGACAGCCAGUCUUGCAGCAGGUGCAGCCACAGCCGCAGUCGGAGCCACCGUUUGUGGCUAUCGGCUAUAUUGAUGGCUAACAAGUUUGGCUCUGGGAAAGUAGGUGAGGAGCAUCUGAAUGGCAUGAAUAGUAAUUCAAUUUUCUAUUAAUUGUUAUGCGACUGCAUUAUUUACGAGUCUAUGCCACAGGGGGAAACCUCUGCCAAGAAUCUCCAUCGCCAUCAACUAUAGCUGCCUUUGAUCUGCUCUCCGGGUGAUCUCAACUGUCAGAGCUGGCCAGACCCAGAUCCAGAUCCUUUUAAUCAGCAUCAACACUCUCCUCCUAUCCGCUUGGCAGGGUGCUGCCCUUUGAAGUGCUGCUGAGAGUGGAAAUAAAGCUGUUUGGACAUCUUA